GGAAGCCCUUGCCCCGGACCCCCUGCCCAAACGUGGGUCCUGGUUUGCAGGCCUCCUGCUGCAGGACAGCAGUUCCUAAGAGCCUGUGGGCCUCCUGCAGGGACAGGACUGGAGCUGUGGGUGUGGCAGGAGGCAGAGCUCCCAGGCAGGACCAGCCUGGAGGGGUUGGAGGGACAGGAACCAGCGCCCCCUGCCCUGCCCAUCUCCCUGAACAUGUCGGGGGAAGGAGCCCCAGGCUCUGCCACACAGCCUGUCAUGGGGAGGGGCUGGCAGCUCUGCCCCAGGCUCUGGCAAUGAGGACCCUGCCAGCCACUGUCUGAAGCCAGGUCAGGCCAAGCCAGCUGCCAGCUGUGAGGUUCCAGGGCUCAGCUGCCUGCGGGGAGGGGCGGUGCUGAACUGGGGAGUUGGAGGGAACGGUGAGGGGCAGGGGAAGAAGAAAUCCCCCGAGUCCCACAGUGGGAGGCUGUAAGAUCUCCCUCUCCAUGUCUUAGUCUCUGUAAACCUUUUACCCUCCAGGGUGUGGGGAGCAACCUUCAACUGUAAAGGGGUCCCUGGGCCCCGCCCUCCCCGAGGCUGUGGCUGCCUCCAGGGUGGGGGUUUCUGGCACUUUAGGGGCCUCCAUUGACCGCCUCCCACUGCCCUUUCUUUACACCGCAUUGCCCGACACCCAGGCCUUCACCUUGGGUGUGAGGCGGGUGGCACACAGCGGGGCACGGUGCCCACGGGGCAGCCGGGAGCUGACUCAGCAUCUUUACCUUCCCGCUCACGUGACGCCUCCUCCUGCCGCCGCUCGAGACGCUUUACAAACCUUGCGCCAUUCCUCCAUCAGCGCAAUCCUUAUCGACGGUCAGCACUCCCACUUCACAGGUGAAGAGGUGGAGGUGCGGGGAGAUCUGGCAGCUGCCCGGACCCACACAAACCAAGCUCGCAGUGGGAUGCCAGGAAGUGUGAUUAAGCAAAAGCCUGGUCUCCAGGAUGGGGCCAGCUCGUCCGAGCCGCAGGGAUGGACACAUCAUGCUCUCUUCAACUCAACCAGUGGGAGGAUCUGAGAGACCAGGGAAGAGGGGCGUGUCCCAGCCGGGAACUGCACUCACCUGGGCACCUUCCUGCCCGAGACCAGGGAAGAGGGGCGUGUCCGAGCCGGGAACUGCACUCACCUGGGCACCUUCCUGCGUGAGACCAGGGAAGAGGGCCGUGUCCGAGCCAGAAUUGGACUCACCUGGGCACCUUCCUGCCCGAGACCAGGGAAGAGGGGCGUGUCCGACCCGGGAACUGGACUCACCCGGGCACCUUCCUGCCCGAGACCAGGGAAGAGGGGCGUGUCCGACCCGGGAACUGCACUCACCUGGGCACCUUCCUGCACGAGACCAGGGAAGAGGGGCGUGUCCGACCCGGGAACUGGACUCACCCGGGCACCUUCCUGCCCGAGACCAGGGAAGAGGGGCGUGUCCGACCCGGGAACUGCACUCACCUGGGCACCUUCCUGCACGAGACCAGGGAAGACGGGCGUGUCUGAGCUGGGAACUGCACUCACCUGGGCACCUUCCUGCCCUCCUCCUGACGCCCUCAGAAUGAGGUUCUCCCUGUCCCCAUCCCCACCCUCCCGUGAGGUGGGGGCCGAUCCUCUCCACUUGUCUGAGGAGCAUGAGGUUCUAUCUCACUUGGGCAACUACAACAAAGUACCUACGGCUCGGGGGCUUAAACAACAGAAAUUUAUUUCUCACAGUUCUGGAAGCCAGAGGUCAAGAUCCAGGUGCGGGCAGACUCGGUUCCUGUGAGCGCCGGCUUCCUGGCUUGCUGACGACGCCUUCCCAUGUCCCCACGUGGCACGAAGCAGAGAACAGGACCCAGCACUCGUGUCUCUUCCCCUGAGGGUGCUGGUCCUGUUCCGAGGGCUCCACCCACCUGACCCAGCCGCCCCCAAAGGCCCCCUCUCCUAAUACCAUCGCACUGGAGGGAGGGUUUCAGCAUGUGGAUUCUGGGGGCACAUCCAGUCCACGCAGCCCUGAGUGGUUGCCUGGCCUGCUGAAAGCCACUCAGCUCGGGCAGGGCCACGGUGGCUGCCUGCAGGCCAUGCCCUGCAGCCCACACCAGCGCCACCCUCUACAGGGGCUGAGGCAGAGCCUGCUGGGUGCCGAGGGUGGUGCCCUGGUGUUUGCUGGUGAGGUGGGGCAGCAGGCCGCCUGCAGAGCCUCAGGACUGGCCAGACUCCAGCUUUGUGCAGCCCCUGGUGUGCUGCUUGGAGAACGCAGCCUUUCUGAACCAUCCACCUGGUGUGGCGCUAAGUGACUUUGUUCCGGAUGCGGGGUGGGGAGGGCUGUGACAGCCCAUGGGCCUUGCCAAGGCUGGGCGGCCCUGCCCAAAGCCUACUGGACAACUGGCCAAGCAAGGCCCUGGUGAGCCUGGGCCGUCGGUGGGCGGGCAGUCAGGGCACAGAUGCCAGCAGCCUGCGUGGGCAGGACGUCUGGCCGCUCCGCCGGCCCUGAGCUCCAGCUACCCAUGUCCUCUUGGGGUCUCUCCGGCAGCCCUGAACCACACAAGCCCCAGGCCAGUGACUGAGGCCACAUCUGGCUGGAGGCUCCAGCGACGUCCAGCCUCAGGUCAAAGUGGCCAUCUGUCAUCUGACAGGUUGACACGCACCUUCCUUGGGCCGAGUGUCUGUGCCCGCCCCCCUGCCCCGCACUCAGUGUGCAGUAGGGCAGCGGUUCUAGGCAAAGCAGUUUCCUGUCGGGAUGAGGACCAGCUCCAGAGAAGGUGAGGAGGGGUCCCCGUGUCAGGGCCUCCCUGAGAAGACGCAGUGUCUGCCAUCCUGGUGGGUAGAGGGGACAGCACACGCAAGUGCUCAGGGAAGUGGGGGUGGCCGUGUGCCCAGGCAGGGAGGACGGGGGCAGAGGGGCCGGUGGUCCUGGAGCAUGUGGCAGGGCCAGGUCUCAGUGAGGAGGCCUCGAGGAGGAAAGUGUGUGGGUAGUGUCGAGGUGCCAGGGAGUCUGGGUGUGUGGAUCCACGGUGGGGCCCGGGUCUCUCCCACGAGUGAGCGCGGGGCCUGCGUUCCUCACGAUGGAUCUGCCACAGCACGGGGACGACGGCCACAGCUUCUCCAUGUGGCUGAAGGCGUAGGAGGGGGCGCGUGGGAGGCCACUUGUGACACCUGUGGACCGGAGAUGACAACAUGCGGGGUUUGGGGAUGUCGAGCUCCCUGAGGUCCCGGAGCUACAGGUUGAUUUCUGCCCUUUCUGGAUGCCUCCAGAGCCACCGUCGCUCCCCAGCCUGUUCCUGCCGUCACAGGGUCUCUCUUACCGAAGCUGGAGUGCAGUGGUGCCAUCAUGCCAUCACUGCAGCCGGGACCUCCUGGAUUAAAGUGAUCCUCCCACCUCAGCCUCCUGGGCAGCUAGGAUCACAGGCAGGCCACCCAGCCCAGAUGAUUUUCGCAGUUUUGUAGAGACAGGGUUUCUGUGUUGCCCAGGCUGGUCUCGAACUCUUGGACUCAAGCAGUCUGCCCACCUCAGCCUCCCAAAGCUCUGGACUUACAGGCAUAAGCCGCCUGGCCUGGCCUCGGUUUUUCACUUUUGGUCCCACCAUUCCAGUGCCGAGCCUGUGAGACUGGAGUCAUGACCCAGCAGGACUGCACCUGCACCUGACGGGGAGCAGAGGUGGGCUCUGGAGGGCUACUCUGUGACCUGUACUGUAUAGGCAAGGUUACCCUAUGGGUUCUCCCUGGCAGUGACCCAGAUGUGCUUCAGUUUGUCCUCUAACAACCAUCGACUCUGGGCCCCUCUCUGCGCCAGGCUUCAGGGAGGACAGUGGGAGAAGCCCCAGGGGACCCGGGCAGCAGGCGGCCACAGUCCCUGUGGUUCGCUUUCUGCCGGUGGAGGAGACCAAAAGAGGACUCUGGGGACAGAUGAACUGGCCUCGAUCGGCAGGAGCAGCCAGUCCUGGCAGUGCAGCCUUCAUGUUCUCUGGUCGUUUGGUGCAGCCCAGUGACGUGGGAGGCUGGGGAGGCCUCGAGGUUACCUCCCUGGAGGAGAUCAGAGAACGGGCUGGGCUUGCAGGUUCCGGCGAGAGGACGGUGCUGGAGGUGCUGAAGGGACAGCGCCCGUGUGGAAUCCGCCGCCACCCUGGCCGCCUGGGUGAGGACCGACUGUCUCCCCCGCUGGAGCUGGGCGCCACGUACGUCUGAAUUCUGCUCAUCCUCUCUGGAGUCCUGUCGAUGCAGUCUUGGCAAAGAUUGCUUGAGCCUGAAUGCUUUUCCCAUCUAUUUUUAAAUAAAUGGAAUUCCUCAUGCUUGGAUGAAAUUUACCCCAACUGGGCAUUUUCACGACCCGCUUUGCCUGGGCGCAGAGGAGGGGACAGGGGGUACGCAUGCGGGUAACCAGAUUGCUGACAAUGUAGCCCGUGGGUGUGCAAGACACAAAAUUAAAAACAUAAAUGAUUAAUGAGCUAGCUCUUUGAAAGGACAUCCUAAACAAAGGAGGAAGCAAAGAUUUUCAAGCCUUGAUGCAGGAUUCGCUUUCCAGAACCUUCCAAGGUGUGGCAAAGCUGCUGGAGCCAAUGCCAUUUGUAGACAGGAGAACCACGAGCUGCAGGGUGCAAAGCUCCACCUGCAUCCGGAGCUGGCCCCUCCAGCCUGGCAUCCCCACAGGGGCCACACUCAGCCACCCCCAGGAGGCUCUGAAGCCAGCUGAUGGCUCCCCAAGACUUCAGCAGGGUGUUCCCCUUUUUUUCCUGAAAAAUAAGAUGAACAGGUUUGUCUCUCCCAAUGUCCUGGAACACCAGAGCACCUUAAUCCUUGCUCCCAUCUCAGCUCUGGUGCAUCUGCUACAACGGGAACUGGGGAUCACUUUUCCUUCAUCCUCUAUGGAUCAGCCCUAACCUUGGGUCCCACGUGGCUCUGACAUCAAACCUGAGAUGACUGCUUCCCCAGGAGGGGCUGUGCACAGCCCGGGCACUGCCGAGGGACACCGGAUAGUCUGAGGCUUCCCCCAACAGGAUGAGGGGCCCCAGCCCUGCCGGGUUUACAUUUUGAGCUACGGCUGCUCCCUCGGGUCUUCUGGUGAGUGGGAAAGACCAGCGGCGCCAGCCAGCGUGUGAGGGGAGAUGCCGUGGUGCCCUCUUCCUUCUGCGCACUGAAGUCCUCUCUCUCCCUUGAACACACCAGGCUGGUGCCUCCUCCCUUAACAACGGAGAGAAACCGCAGCCGCCUGGGGCAAGCCCACUUCAUGCUGGUUAUCACAGCCAAUGUGUGGGCACAGAGGCAGGGAGGCGGGGGUCCGGAGCGUGCCCCCGAAUGUGCACUAGCUUGUGUAAGUUGCCGUCUAUCCCCAACAUCCUGGAUAAUGUACAGGUUAGCAUUCUGCCUGCACCGACCCUUCUGUUUACAGCCGAAACACAAAACAACAAAAACAGGCCCCGUGGCCACUAGCUCUGGAAACCAAAGGGCAAACACAACCCACGGGCUGACCCUGCGCCAGGGCUAGGGCUGUUUUAUGAGCAGGUCCCCUGUGAGGACAGCACCAGCGAUUCAGCAGAGGCCUUCUCUAGGUAGAAUCCAUGGUGCCAGGCAAACGCGCGAAUAGGCUGGAUGUAGUCAGAGACGCACUCAAAGAUCACACCCCUCCUGGGUGUGCAGAGGAGGGCCCGGCGGCGGGGCACCUUGGGGGGUGGGCAGCGCUGAGCCUCAGGGGUCCCUUGGUCUCCCAGUAGCAGCUCCAGAGGGACCCCUCCCAGGACGCAUGGCCCCCAGCAGUGGGGACGCCACCUCUGCCCACCUGCCCCCAAGGAAACACUGUCCCAUUUGUGUCCAGGAGGCACAGAUCUGCCUCCUUUGUCCUGAGGGGUGGCACUGGGCUUCCCGCUGGCCUCUCUGCUGCCCUGGGGCCACCCUCCAAUCCCUGCCCCUGCCACAGGCCCCUUCUGGAGUCUGCAGAGCGAAGUCUAGGCCCCGUGGGGGGUUCAAGGCCCUCUAGGAGUGACUCUCCCGUCCCAACUCAGAUGGCCCUUUCUCCUCUUCUUGCCUGCGGGCCACUGUGGCCACCCCCUUUCCCCUGGGCUGUUUUCCUUGCGGGACACCUCCAGCCUCCACAGACCCUCCCUGCACACACCCUGGGGUCUAGGGGGUCCUACUGCCUGGCAACCCUGACACCAAGAGCAUGAGGUCACCAUGGGCCGAGCCCCAACAGAGUCUUGGGGAGGGCCCGUACCCCUACCCCUUCCCGGAGGUGUCCACUUCCAGGGCCCAGCUGAGAGGACUCCAGUCCUGCUCAGGUGGCUCUGCACUGCUCUGGGACCCCAGGGAGUGACGGGGCCACCAGGCAGGUCCGCUUGGUUAGUACCGCCUGACUCAAAGGUGACUGCAGGGUCAGUGUGCACAUGGUCGGGGAACGGGCAGGCUCAGCCCAGGUCUG
This is a long non-coding RNA of Cercocebus atys (sooty mangabey), 6401 nucleotides long. RefSeq lists it as uncharacterized. The transcript is spliced from 3 exons. NCBI's taxonomy places the organism in Eukaryota, Metazoa, Chordata, Mammalia, Primates, Cercopithecidae. The record is from RefSeq and is a predicted model, not a curated record.